RNAcentral lists this long non-coding RNA (1006 nucleotides) under Felis catus (domestic cat). RNAcentral's name for it is "lncRNA (ENSFCAG00000053700.1)". Lineage: Eukaryota; Metazoa; Chordata; Mammalia; Carnivora; Felidae. The record is from RNAcentral.
UGUCCCUACAUAUUUACAAAGGUCAGCAGAGGUGCCAACAUGUAACUUGGACACCGCAAGGACCCAGAGUUGUCCAGACCUGCAGGGCUCAUCCUAACCCUGAGUUACCAAGUUCUUCCUUCUGAUUCACUUUAGAGUGGGUUUUGACUCCUCCCUGCUGUGAAAGUUCCACUCCCGUGCCCCCAACCCUUGCUAAAGAGGUGUUGAAUUGUUUGGAUUCCUUCUAAUUUACUUUUUGCUCCUGCCCUAAGCAAUCCUUCUGGGGAUCCCUAUUUUCUCUCACUGUAAAUAAUUCUAAAGACCCAUCUCUUCUCUCACUCGCUUUUCUCUAGAGAGUCAUGCCUGACCUGAUACCAACCAGUCCUGCCAGUCACACUUCUCAGAUGCAGUGGAUCUCAGCAGUAAGAGAGCAAACAAAGUGACUUCUCAAGGUUGAAGACACAGGGGUGCCCCCUUGCAUUCCGUGCCCCCCCUCACUUAGCCACGAGCCCUCCAGUAAGAGCAGAGCAUCCAACUGCCCCACGCUCUCUCCCUACCUCAGCACACACACCGAGUGCCAACUCGGUGCUACUCAAAGAGGGCUCUGCCCAGGCUUCCUCAAGCCUGACCUUUUGUGGGUAUCGAGGGAUCAACCUGCAGCCCCUUGGGAAGAAUUGGUGCGAAGGAAGACUUCUGCCCCAAUCAGACUGAGGAUCUGGACUCCACCCUUCAGUCAGUAAGCAUCUGAGGAACCAGGGGGAGGGAACAUUAAGAUACUACCAAAGAUGUCUGCGCUAGGGGAAAAGGGGGUAUGUGCAAACCUGGCUGGCUGGCUCAGUAAUGGAGAACUGGCUGCAGGUGGAUUCGGAGUCCAAUAUGGGCUCCUUUUGGUUGCCAAAGGAUAAACACUCGAAUCACAGUUGCAAGCAACUGGAAGACAUUUUAGAAAGCAUUACUCCAAUACUUUGAUAUAAAAUCUGCCAUAAUAAUUUCCUCAGUUUAAAUUGUCCCAUUUUUUGAUAGUCAU